This 254-nucleotide ribosomal RNA is filed under the name uncultured bacterium. RNAcentral describes it as "partial 16S ribosomal RNA". It matches the Rfam family "Bacterial small subunit ribosomal RNA", at positions 524 to 776 of the family's 1533-position model. The record is from RNAcentral.
UACGUAGGGGGCGAGCGUUGUCCGGAUUUAUUGGGCGUAAAGAGCUCGUAGGCGGCUUGGCAAGUCGGGUGUGAAACCUCCAGGCUCAACCUGGAGACGCCACUCGAUACUGCCAUGGCUAGAGUCCGGUAGGGGACCACGGAAUUCCUGGUGUAGCGGUGAAAUGCGCAGAUAUCGGGAGGAACACCUGUGGCGAAGGCGGCUACCUGGACCGGUUCUGACGCUGAGGCGCGAAAGCGUGGGUAGCAAACAGG